GAUGAACGCUGGCGGCGUGCCUAAUACAUGCAAGUCGAGCGAACGGACGAGAAGCUUGCUUCUCUGAUGUUAGCGGCGGACGGGUGAGUAACACGUGGAUAACCUACCUAUAAGACUGGGAUCACUUCGGGAAACCGGAGCUAAUACCGGAUAAUAUUUUGAACCGCAUGGUUCAAAAGUGAAAGACGGUCUUGCUGUCACUUAUAGAUGGAUCCGCGCUGCAUUAGCUAGUUGGUAAGGUAACGGCUUACCAAGGCAACGAUGCAUAGCCGACCUGAGAGGGUGAUCAGCCACACUGGAACUGAGACACGGUCCAGACUCCUACGGGAGGCAGCAGUAGGGAAUCUUCCGCAAUGGGCGAAAGCCUGACGGAGCAACGCCGCGUGAGUGAUGAAGGUCUUCGGAUCGUAAAACUCUGUUAGUAGGGAAGAACAUAUGUGUAAGUAACAGUGCACAUCUUGACGGUACCUAAUCAGAAAGCCACGGCUAACUACGUG
RNAcentral lists this ribosomal RNA (497 nucleotides) under uncultured bacterium. Its description in RNAcentral is "partial 16S ribosomal RNA". It matches the Rfam family "Bacterial small subunit ribosomal RNA", at positions 28 to 507 of the family's 1533-position model. The record is from RNAcentral.